RNAcentral lists this ribosomal RNA (253 nucleotides) under uncultured bacterium. Its description in RNAcentral is "partial 16S ribosomal RNA". It matches the Rfam family "Bacterial small subunit ribosomal RNA", at positions 524 to 776 of the family's 1533-position model. The record is from RNAcentral.
UACGAAGGGGGCGAGCGUUGUUCGGAUUUACUGGGCGUAAAGGGCGCGCAGGCGGCUCAUUUUGUCAGGCGUGAAAGCCCCGGGCUUAACCUGGGAACUGCGUUUGAUACGGAUGGGCUAGAGUUCGGGAGAGGAGAGUGGAAUUCCCAGUGUAGAGGUGAAAUUCGUAGAUAUUGGGAGGAACACCAGUGGCGAAGGCGGCGAUCUGGGCAGAUAUUGACGCUGAGGUGCGAAAGCGUGGGGAGCAAACAGG